RNAcentral lists this ribosomal RNA (207 nucleotides) under uncultured Thauera sp. RNAcentral's name for it is "partial 16S ribosomal RNA". It matches the Rfam family "Bacterial small subunit ribosomal RNA", at positions 334 to 535 of the family's 1533-position model. The record is from RNAcentral. Lineage: Bacteria; Pseudomonadati; Pseudomonadota; Betaproteobacteria; Rhodocyclales; Zoogloeaceae.
CCUUCCUACGGGAGGCAGCAGUGGGGAAUUUUGGACAAUGGGCGCAAGCCUGAUCCAGCCAUGCCGCGUGAGUGAAGAAGGCCUUCGGGUUGUAAAGCUCUUUCGGCCGGGAAGAAAUCGUGUUCUCUAACAUAGGACAUGGAUGACGGUACCGGACUAAGAAGCACCGGCUAACUACGUGCCAGCAGCCGCGGUAAUAAGGGCAGC